This 218-nucleotide long non-coding RNA is filed under the name Dasypus novemcinctus (nine-banded armadillo). RNAcentral describes it as "lncRNA (ENSDNOG00000051857.1)". The record is from RNAcentral. Lineage: Eukaryota; Metazoa; Chordata; Mammalia; Cingulata; Dasypodidae.
CUAGAUAAUGUCGGCAGCCCUUCUCUUUGAGAACCACUUUUAAUGAUUUAUUUUCCCCCUUAGUACCGAGCCACUGCACUGCCAGCAUUCAAGUACUACGUGACCUGUGCUUGCCUCAUAUUCUUCUGCAUCUUUAUUGUGCAGAUUCUCGUGUUGCCAAAAACUCCCACCCUCGGCAUCUCCUUUGGAGUUGCGUCGCUCUCACUUGCCUUCAUCCU